RNAcentral lists this ribosomal RNA (496 nucleotides) under uncultured bacterium. RNAcentral's name for it is "partial 16S ribosomal RNA". It matches the Rfam family "Bacterial small subunit ribosomal RNA", at positions 29 to 507 of the family's 1533-position model. The record is from RNAcentral.
AUGAACGCUGGCGGCGUGCCUAAUACAUGCAAGUCGAGCGAACAGAUGAGGAGCUUGCUCCUCUGACGUUAGCGGCGGACGGGUGAGUAACACGUGGAUAACCUACCUAUAAGACUGGGAUAACUUCGGGAAACCGGAGCUAAUACCGGAUAAUAUAUUGAACCGCAUGGUUCAAUAGUGAAAGACGGUUUUGCUGUCACUUAUAGAUGGAUCCGCGCCGCAUUAGCUAGUUGGUAAGGUAACGGCUUACCAAGGCAACGAUGCGUAGCCGACCUGAGAGGGUGAUCGGCCACACUGGAACUGAGACACGGUCCAGACUCCUACGGGAGGCAGCAAUAGGGAAUCUUCCGCAAUGGGCGAAAGCCUGACGGAGCAACGCCGCGGGAGUGAUGAAGGUCUUCGGAUCGGAAAACUCUGUUAUUAGGGAAGAACAAAUGUGUAAGUAACUAUGCACGUCUUGACGGUACCUAAUCAGAAAGCCACGGCUAACUACGUG